GAUGAUUGUCAUUUAUUCACUUAAACAGUACACAUAAACACUUAACAGUAUUGCAGAAUAAACACUUAACAGUAUUGCAGAAUAUUUUUAAGAAAGUUAUGAAUUCUGUUAAAAUAUUGUAACAAACUUUUAAAGCAAUAUUUAUUCCUGUAUUCUCAGCAUUUUUUAGAAAUUCGAGUGCACUUUAAAAGUUUCCAAAUGCUAAUUUUUUUUAAAGAACCUUAGAGUAAUUGUAAGAAGUAUCAUUAUCCCCAUUUGAUAAAUGAGGAAACUGAAACACAGAACAGUUAAGUAACUUUCUCAGGGUUGUAGGAUAAUUCUUUGCUAAGCUAGGGAUAGAUUAUUUCUUGGCAUUAAGUGUUCUACGCAUUAUUCCGCUGCUUCUCUGUGUUAAAGAAUGCUGCAGUACUUCUAUGAUACAAUUUAAAAAUGAAACCAAACUACUUGUCUUAUGUUUACAGUUUUCUUGGGGAGGGGGGACCUCUUUGGUUGAUAUUCAUUUGCUGUCCUGACCUUUUGUAAAAAUUGAGAUUUUAAACACACAUACAAAAGAGAGGAAGACUGACUACCAUCCUUGACUUGCCUGGGAUUUCAGUAAAAAACAGAGGGCAGAAUAUGUCUCAAAAUAUUGAGCUGAAAUUCUUAUAAAUGUACUUCAGCCUUCCAAAUCAUGUUUCCUGUAUAUUGGACCAGAACAGAAGGAGCUUUUACCUUAGAGUGGAGUGUUGAUGGUACACUUUGUGGUCUGGCUGGCACCAGUGAAGACUACGGUUAAUCCAGUUUUUGUUUAGAGAAACCACUGCAGAAAAGGAUACCUUCUUCUUUCACACUCCUCCAAGCUAUGGUGAGGUGCAAAGCCUUGAUGUAAUUUGAAGAGAGACUCUCAAUUUACAGGGAAAGUAACUUCAUCCUAAAAUUGCUGCCAAAAUACUGACUCCUGGCUUGCUCCACAAUUUCUGUGAUCCUUAGAUCCCGAGAUCCUAGGAUCCUUAGAUCCUGCGAGUUUAGAGAGAGCCUUUCAAAUCCCUGUUGCCAUUAAACUCCAUCCCACGCUGUGUACUCUCUGUUCUUGGACAGCCUAAGAAAUGUCUUUGUCUGCCAUUUAGUCACUGGCAGCCCUGGAGACAAAUCUGAGCUGCAUUUACGUUAUAAUCCUUCCUAAAUGCUUUUACUGUUCUCUUGUCAAUGUUAGCCUUAAGGUAGACGUUCUCCAGGGAAAACAAAGAUACAAUCUGCCCUAGCAGUGGAGACCAUAUUAUUACUUCUGGUGGGUGAAAGUAACACUAUGUGUAUAUAUUUCCAGGCUUACUUGUCAGCUUUGGUCUUUCCUAGCAGAACAGACCUAAAUGUUGAACAAUGAAAUGAAUAGACAGUGUCUUUUCAGAUUUUCAUUCUCUUUUAGAUGGGAGAUAUUUCUAUUGUCACCAUCUCUUUACUAGAGAGAUCAUGUCAUGUUUAUUUGCCAAGUAAUGGGAUGCACUGGGUAUUUUCAGUGUGAUUCCUGUAGCAUUUUUUUAGUAGGUGCUUCAUAGUUCCACAUUUUAAGAACUGGAGGUGCAUUAAGGAGAACCAAAAGGUCAUCUGUAUUUGUCAGCUGCAGAAGCUAUAUCCUCUUAGGCACGGAGAGGGAAGGAUUGUACCCUGCACUUAACACGGAGAAACAUGAAGUAACUUUUGUCACUGUCUCAAGAUCUUGGAACCAGUCACAUGAAUAAAGCUGAAGUGGU
This is a long non-coding RNA of Apteryx rowi (Okarito brown kiwi), 1727 nucleotides long. The record is from Ensembl. Lineage: Eukaryota; Metazoa; Chordata; Aves; Apterygiformes; Apterygidae.